RNAcentral lists this ribosomal RNA (253 nucleotides) under uncultured bacterium. Its description in RNAcentral is "partial 16S ribosomal RNA". It matches the Rfam family "Bacterial small subunit ribosomal RNA", at positions 524 to 776 of the family's 1533-position model. The record is from RNAcentral.
UACAGAGGUCCCAAGCGUUGUUCGGAUUUACUGGGCGUAAAGGGUGCGUAGGUGGCGAGGUAAGUUUGAUGUGAAAUCUCCGAGCUCAACUCGGAAAUGGCAUUGAAUACUAUCCCGCUUGAGGGUCGGAGGGGAGACUGGAAUUCUCGGUGUAGCAGUGAAAUGCGUAGAUAUCGAGAGGAACACCAGUGGCGAAGGCGAGUCUCUGGACGACUCCUGACACUGAGGCACGAAAGCUAGGGGAGCAAACAGG